CCAAUUUGUAAGUCGCUCUGGAUAAGAGCGUCUGCUAAAUGACUUAAAUGUAAAUGUAAAUGUCCGUGCGCGUGGACGAGGCCUACUGAUGUCCAGUUCAGUUUGGGCGGAAGAGCGCAAAGAUGAGAAGGAGGGCGAGAGGAAUGUGGAGUACUGCCUGUUCGCCCCCCCACCCCACCCUGAUCCACCCAGCUUUUUACCCUGAAAUUGGAGCGGUGUCCUCUGGGGCACAUCAGCCAGUGGGUCAGACCUGCUCCACAAACGACUGGUUAGGACCUGACCGUGGCUGGCAGAGACACGAUCUCCCCUCAUCUCUAGAUGACCUCACAUUGUAGUACCAGCCCCAUCUGCCACCAUCACAUACACAGUCUCUAUAUUCCUCUCUGAAUCAUGUAGCUAUGUACAGCAUUUGUGACACUCUGGAGCCGAGCCUUUGUGUCUCAGCAGCCCAAUGGGAUUAUGAUAAAGGUCCAUCUGACAUUUUAAUAAACUGAAAGUGAUACUCCUGUUAUUUA
Molecule: long non-coding RNA, 515 nt
Organism: Salmo salar (Atlantic salmon)
Lineage: Eukaryota; Metazoa; Chordata; Actinopteri; Salmoniformes; Salmonidae
Source: RefSeq, a predicted model, not a curated record